RNAcentral lists this ribosomal RNA (253 nucleotides) under uncultured bacterium. RNAcentral describes it as "partial 16S ribosomal RNA". It matches the Rfam family "Bacterial small subunit ribosomal RNA", at positions 524 to 776 of the family's 1533-position model. The record is from RNAcentral.
UACGUAGGUGGCAAGCGUUGUCCGGAAUUAUUGGGCGUAAAGCGCGCGCAGGCGGUCCUUUAAGUCUGAUGUGAAAACCCACGGCUCAACCGUGGAGGGUCAUUGGAAACUGGGGGACUUGAGUGCAGAAGAGGAAAGCGGAAUUCAACGUGUAGCGGUGAAAUGCGUAGAGAUGUGGAGGAACACCAGUGGCGAAGGCGGCUUUCUGGUCUGUAACUGACGCUGAGGCGCGAAAGCGUGGGGAGCAAACAGG